This is a long non-coding RNA of Mytilus californianus (California mussel), 270 nucleotides long. RefSeq lists it as uncharacterized. The transcript is spliced from 2 exons. The record is from RefSeq and is a predicted model, not a curated record. NCBI's taxonomy places the organism in Eukaryota, Metazoa, Mollusca, Bivalvia, Mytilida, Mytilidae.
CAUGGCACAUGAAGAAAUGCUUGAAGACAAUGGCCUUAUUCAUGAGCUUGUAAAAAGAAGUCCAUGUUCUGGAAGACGAUGCCAUUCCAACUAUCAGUGCUGUAGAGGUUGGAAGUGCUAUAACAGGAAAUGUAGGCUCUAUGGUGGUUAAUGGGUUCGGCUAUCCAUUAUUUACAGGUUCUUACCAAGAAAUUAUUAUCUUUUAACUAAAGGACUUGUAAAAAUGAAUAUCAGAUGAAAUGAAAUAAAAAUCUGUAAUUUGUUUCUGAA